CGAUGCAACGCGAAGAACCUUACCUGGUCUUGACAUCCCGGAGACCCUUAGGAAACUAGGGGGUGCUUCCAUCUGGAAGAAUCUGGAGACAGGUGCUGCAUGGCUGUCGUCAGCUCGUGUCGUGAGAUGGUUGGGUUAACGUCCCGCAACGAGCGCAACCCUUGCCUUUAGUUGCCAGCAGUUCGGCUGGGCACUCUAAAGGGACUGCCGGUGUUAAACCGGAGGAAGGUGGGGAUGACGUCAAGUCCUCAUGGCCUUUAUGACCAGGGCUACACACGUACUACAAUGGCCGAUACAAAGGGCAGCGACACUGCGAGGUGAAGCCAAUCCCGUAAAAUCGGUCUCAGUCCGGAUUGGAGUCUGCAACUCGACUCCAUGAAGUUGGAAUCGCUAGUAAUCGUGGAUCAGCAUGCCACGGUGAAUACGUUCCCGGGCCUU
Molecule: ribosomal RNA, 438 nt
Filed under: uncultured Desulfobulbus sp.
Lineage: Bacteria; Pseudomonadati; Thermodesulfobacteriota; Desulfobulbia; Desulfobulbales; Desulfobulbaceae
Description: bacterial SSU rRNA
Rfam family: Bacterial small subunit ribosomal RNA
Source: RNAcentral